RNAcentral lists this ribosomal RNA (459 nucleotides) under uncultured bacterium. RNAcentral describes it as "partial 16S ribosomal RNA". It matches the Rfam family "Bacterial small subunit ribosomal RNA", at positions 338 to 795 of the family's 1533-position model. The record is from RNAcentral.
CCUACGGGCGGCAGCAGUGAGGAAUAUUGGUCAAUGGUCGGGAGACUGAACCAGCCAAGCCGCGUGAGGGAGGAAGGUACAGAGUAUCGUAAACCUCUUUUGUCAGGGAACAAAGGCGGGGACGUGUCCCCGGAUGAGUGUACCUGAAGAAAAAGCAUCGGCUAACUCCGUGCCAGCAGCCGCGGUAAGACGGAGGAUGCGAGCGUUAUCCGGUUUUAUUGGGUUAAAAGGGGGCGCGGGCGGUCUGUUAAGUCAGCGGUCAAAGCCCGGGGCUCAACCCCGGCCCGCCGUUGAAACUGGCAGUCUCGAGUUGGAGAGAAGUAUGCGGAAUGCGCGGUGUAGCGGUGAAAUGCAUAGAUAUCGCGCAGAACUCCGAUUGCGAAGGCAGCAUGCCGGCUCCACACUGACGCUGAGGAACGAAAGCCAGGGUAGCAAAUGGGAUUAGAUACCCGAGUAGUC